RNAcentral lists this ribosomal RNA (227 nucleotides) under uncultured bacterium. RNAcentral describes it as "partial 16S ribosomal RNA". It matches the Rfam family "Bacterial small subunit ribosomal RNA", at positions 103 to 334 of the family's 1533-position model. The record is from RNAcentral.
CGGGUGAGUAAUACAUCGGAACGUGCCCAGUAGUGGGGAUAACCCGGCGAAAGCCGGACUAAUACCGCAUACGACCUAUGGGUGAAAGCAGGGGAUCGCAAGACCUUGCGCUAUUGGAGCGGCCGAUGUCAGAUUAGCUAGUUGGCGGGGUAAAAGCCCACCAAGGCGACGAUCUGUAGCUGGUCUGAGAGGACGACCAGCCACACUGGGACUGAGACACGGCCCAG